Molecule: ribosomal RNA, 317 nt
Filed under: uncultured bacterium
Lineage: Bacteria
Description: bacterial SSU rRNA
Rfam family: Bacterial small subunit ribosomal RNA
Source: RNAcentral
GACGAACGCCGGCGGCGUGCCUCAUACAUGCAAGUCGAGCGGAUGUAGCAAUACAUCAGCGGCGGACGGGUGAGUAACACGUGGGCAACCUGGCCUUAAGAGGGGGAUAACGUCCCGAAAGGGACGCUAAUACCGCGUAAAUCAGCGAGACCGUAUGGUUUUGUUGGAAAAGGAGCGUCCGCUUAUGGAUGGGCCCGCGUCUGAUUAGCUAGUUGGUAGGGUAGAGGCCUACCAAAGCAACGAUCAGUAGCCGGCCUGAGAGGGUGGACGGCCACACUGGGACUGAGAACGGCCAGACUCCUACGGGAGGCAGCAUG